GGAAGUUGUUGAAUGGUUUGUUUGGUGAGGACACUGCGUAGUGGUGAAGAAACAGUUGUUUGACCGUUUUAGCCUGUGUGGAUAAUUCAAUAUUUUUUGUUUCGUUCUACAAGUGUAUUGGAUGCUAUUGGAGUAACAUACAUGUUUGAAUUUGAAGAUCUUUAAGUGGUAUUCGUUUAUCACGACCCCUGUGUCGGUUUCGCCUACUGAAGAGCACUAAAUGAACAAAUCUAUGGGAUUGUUAUACAACACAAGUGUUCACGCGUCAAAACGACAUCUGAAACUACCAGUGGAUUAAAGUAAGUAGAUUUUUGCCGUUACAGCAAGUCAAAAAACCUUCUUUCCAUGGGUUACGAAUUGAUGACAAGUGCAUGCACUUGCAACGCGGACGGUGGAAUGUAAGAGAACACCGUCGGAUGGAAUAAUGUAAAAUGCUGGCUACGGAUUUCAGUGUUCAGAAACCAGAUGCCAUGGAUUAGACAAACCUUACCAUUUAAUUGUGUUUGGGACGUCUUUGUACAAUUUGUGUAAAUUCUAUAGUUACAGCGGAAUGCUGGGUUUUCGUUUGCCUUUGAAGUUUGCGUUCGUUUGUAACACAAUAACUGAAGAUGAUUGAGCACCUAGAUUGGCCACAAGAGGGUUGUCAGGCAUACAGAAAAGACCUAUGAAGAGAAACCGCUUAAAUGUAUAAAUGCUAGGAGAGGAACAUUUAAGACCGUUGACUGCAAAAUCUAAUGAAAUAGGCAGUCUUAUGGAAGAUGAUCAUUUAAGUAUUAUUGAGAACAAGGAAAGAGGAACCUUACGAGGAAUAUCUGAACAGUUUGUAGUGCAUAACACUUCAGUAUUGAGAUUCCUGGAAGAAAAAAAACAUCAUGCAGACCAAGAAUACUAGUUUAUGCCUAAAGUGGCAACUGCCCAGGAGUGUAUUGGAAGGAUUGAGGAGUGGAUUAAAGGAACCAAAGUUCAUGUGGAAAUAUCACACAUGUGACAGAGGUGACACAUGGACUGUGUCAGUAGUGUCUGUAGGGUUAGGGGUUAAGUCUGAGAAGUCUUAAUGGAAUGGAGUCUGUCAGCGGGCAGUCCUGUGCAUCAUCUGCAUCAAGUGCACGCCUUAGAGAACCAGCGAAGAGGGACACGGUAAGAGCAAAAGCAGCUACAAAGAAACAAGAAUGAAACAUAAAAGCCCAGCUCUAUGCAGAGAAGGAACAAUUCAAGUUCGAAAACCACUAGAGCAGCCUAAAAUCAAAGUAUGUGAAGCGUUUGGGGAAUCUCGGCAGCUGGGUAAUACCAGGGCGUAUGCUAUGCAAAAUACAUUGCAUGCGGAAGCUCUGCAGCAGAACAAUGAGGAUGAACAAGUCAAUCGUGUUCCUUUAUCGACUGAGCCCAAAUGCGGGAAGUGGAGGGCUCUUUUAGAAGACACACACACCUUUUCCAGGAGCCAGAACCAGGAUGUUCAGUGCACCAACAGAGUAACAGAGAACCUCUAGUGAGCCAGCAAAGUGAUGAUGAAAACAACAAUGUUGAUAACCUAUGGAGAGUGAUGCGAAGACAGGCGGACAUCACAGAGUUGCUUGUUUGUAAAGCAUCAGCAGUCAUCUCAACUACCUCAGAGACAUGCCCUAUAUUUCAGGUAGACACUCAAUUUUAGCAUUCAAGCACAAUAUUGACCCAGAAAAAAAAACUGUGCAAAUGAGCUGUACUUUCUGAAACAAUACACAGAGGGAGAGGUUAGGGAUUUUGUUCAGAGUUACCAGCACCUGUCAGCAGAUAAAGGCUACAGAGAAGCACUGUGAUUUCUUCAUGAUAAAUAUGGAAAUGAGCUGAUGAUUGCUACAGUAUACAUGGAAAAGGCAUUAAAUAGUCCUCUAAUAAAGUCAGAUGAUGGGAAAGCCCCUCCGUACAUUCUCACUGUUUCUAAUUAGAUUUUGCAUUACCAUGGAAGAUAUUGGCUACCUCAAUGAGAUGGACAACCCUACAAACAUGAGCAUCAUAAUCAACAAAUUACCAUACAAACCCAAAGAGUGAUGGACAACUGUUGCAUUUGAGAUCCAUGACAGAGACGACAGACGAGCCAGGUUCAGAGACUUUGUCAGACUUUUCAAAAAGCAGGCCAAAAUCAUCACAGAUCCCCUUUAGAGAUCUUCAGGAAACCGAACAGAAAGAAAAGAAGAUUGCAUUAGGAAAAAGGGCACUAAGAGACAAGAAAGGAAGUAGCUUCGUUACCAGCGUUACUCCAGAUAAAGAUCUACUAACAAACUGACAUGCAAAGUGUGAAGGUACUGACAUCCACUGCUGCUCUUACUGCUAAAGUCUAUUUUGUGAGGAAAACCAUGCUCUCGAAUAAUGUAUUUUCGAAUCAAAGACAGAAUAUGUUAAAGGAAAUAUGGGCUCUGCUUUGGCUGUCUGGUAGGAGGUCACCUCAGAAAAGACUGCAAAAAACGAAUGCUGUGCCAGGUAUGCUCGCAGAAGCAUCCUUAGCAACUACACUUUUCUAAAAAAGAGAGCUUAAGAGGAAAUGCAUGAAAAUAAAGUAUACAGUGUAACCGUAGAACAGUCUAAUGUCCAUACUGCUUUGGUAUCCCUGGACAAUGAAAUAGGUGUGAACUGGGGCCGGAGGAGUAGAAUGUUUUUCAAUUGUACCAGUUUGAAUUAAGCCCAAUUCUGCAAAGAGGCACUGGUUGCACAGCUGAACCUAAAGGGUAAGACCCCUGACAUGAUAAGCACCAUGGGUCCUAAGAGGUUUGUGACCAGCUUCAUUAGAAGUCAAAUGGUUAGAGGAGAACCGGUUCAUUGACCUACUUAGUCUUCACUCAAAAGACUAUUCCUGUGAGAAAAUAGAAUAUUCCAGUGCAUAAGGACAUUGACAGAUGGCCGUAUCUCAGAAGUGGGAUUGUCCUAUAUUAAUGCUGAUGUGGGACUUCUGAUAGGUACUAAUGUUCAAAGGGCACUAGAGCCGUGAAAGGUAAUAAACAGCAAAGACAAUGUGCCCUAUGAUGUCAGAACAUCUCAUGGCUGGAUUGUCAGUGAACCUUUAAGAGAGCAUAAAGACUUUGAUUUGGAAGAAGGCAAUCAACCAUGGGUUAAAAUCAAUAGGAGAUCUAUUAAACAUGUGGAACAGCUAUUGGUACAGCAGCUAAAUCAUGACUUCCCAGAAUGUACCUGUGAUGAUGAAUUAGAAGUACCUCAAGAAGACUGACAAUUCAUGGAUUCUGUCUCAUGCUCAAUACACCAUUCUAAUGGUCACUACUACAUAGGUCUACCCAUGAAAAGGACACCAGUCAAUAUGACAAUCUAAAGGCAGCUAUGCCUAACCUUAAGAAACUCUGCAAGCCCCCAAUAUUACUUGGAGAGUAGAAGGCCUUCAUGAACAUCGUGUGAAGUUGCCAGAUAAACCCCUGAACCAUGAUGAUGGCAAACUGUGGUACAUUCCUCACCUCUGAGUUUACCACCCACAAAAGAACCUAGUUGAACAACGAAUGUCUACAAGAGUGCUGACAGGUUUCGGGCAGGAAAAGGUUGCCAUGAUGGCAGAUAUUGAAGUUAUGUACUACCAGGCAGGAGUCCCUGAAGAUGACACUGAUCUUCUGUGUUUCCUGUGUUGGCCAGAGGGAGAACUUAGUCAGAACAUGGCUGAAUACAAAUGUUUGUGCAUCUGUUUGGUGCAACCUCAUCCCCCAGCAGUGCCAACUAUGCACUCCGACAGCAGAAGCUAAUAGAAGCAAGUCAUCACCUGAAGCUGUUGAUACAGUUCUUAGAAACGUGUAGGGGAUGAAUGUCAAAAUCAGUAAACAAUGAAGGUCAUGCAGUUAAAUUGCAGAGAGAGCUUACAGAACUGUGUGCUACUGGAGGUUUCCACCUUACAAAGUGGAUGAGUAACAACAAUACAUUUCUGACAUCUAUCCCAGAGAAUGAAAGAGCCUAAUUAUGUCCUGCCUGUUGAGGGCACUUUGGAGUCCGACUCCUUCAAGUUCAGGGUAAACAUGAAGAACAGACCCAACAAGAAGAGGGAUCCUUUCAGUGAAAGGCACCAUUUAUGACCCACUACGAUUUCUCUCACCAGUUAUCCUUCUGAUGAAGGUUUUCUUGCAGAAAUUGUCUAAAGAGAAGGUGAGCUGGGAUGAGGACAUUCCAGAGGUCCUUGCCAAGACCUGGUCGAAGAGGUUGAAUGACAAGCGAAAGUGGAUAUGGAACUGUCAUAUCUGAGGCUAACGAACAAUGAUGGUCGUGUACAUUAUGCCUUUAUGAUAGGAAAGUCAAGGGUAGUGCCGUUACAACAAACCACCACCCCACGGAAGGAACUAACUGCAGCAGUUGUUGUGGUAAAACUGGAUAAGAUGAUACGACAAGAGCUGCAGCUGAAGCGGCAAGAGUCCACGUUUCUGUACAGAUGGCACAGCCGUGUUAAAGUUAAUUGAGAAUGACACACUUUGUUUGUUGCCAACAGGAUUGCUAUGAUUAGAGACAACCAAGCCUAGUCAAUGGAGGUAUUUCAAUUCCAUAUUAAAUCCAGCGGACUGUGCAUCAAGAGCUCACAGGUCACAGCUGAGAAACUCAAAGAACGAGGACUGGAUUUGUGGACCACCCGUCUUGGAGAGAUCAGACGGUUUAUGGACAUUGAAAAUGGUAACGGAUGAUGCUGAGGUUAGGAAAACUAUCACUGUGAACUUAACCACCAAGUUAUUUUGGGCCUAUUGAGGUCAAGAGGAUGAAGCACUGUUAAAAGAUACAGUGUACUGUUUACUUGUAUGACAUCUAGAGCAAUUCACCUAGAGGUGGCUCAUUCCUUAGACACAGACUCAUGUCUAAACAUUAUUUGUCUUUUUGUAUGUAGAAGAGGGCAAGUAUCAAUCCUUGGUUCAGACAUCGGCACACAAUAUGUUGCCACAGAGCAUGAGGUGCUUGAAGCUAUACAGCAGUUGAAUCAAACCAAGAUCAAAGAUACUCUUAUGCAAAAGGACAUCCAAUGGAUUUUCAAUACACCUGCUGGGUUUCAUUUCGGUGGAUUAUGGGAAAAGCAGAUAGGGACAGUAAAAAAGGUUCUACACUCCGUGCUCAAACAGCAGUGUAUUGACAACGAAUGUCUUCAGAACAUGCUUUGUGAAGUGGAAGCAAUUAUCAAUGAUAUACCGAUCACAAAGUCAUCAAACGAUCCAAAUUAUCUGGAAGUGCUUAUGCCCAACCACCGGUUGUUGAUGAAGAAACAACCAUUGAUGCCUCCAGGAUUGUUCCAAAGAGAUACAAAGAAAACAUAACUAUUGUAUGCUUAACGCAGGUGGAAACCGACUCAAUACCUUGCAGACCUGUUUUGGAAAUGUUUGGUCUGAAUCCAUGGGGUUUGGAAGAGUCAUGUAGGCCACAGAAGACUGAAAAGGUUUGGUUUGUUGCGUGCUGGUCAAGACCAGGAAUAAUGUUUUAGAAUGACCUGUAGAUAAGUUGUGCAUACUUCUUAUAGCAGACACAAUGUAAAUUAUUAAUUUGCACUCUUUGUUAUUAAUUGUAAUUGUCAUCUUGCCUUACAAUUAGGGUCUGGAAUGUAAAAGCCAAAUGAAGUGAAUGGAUAUCUUUAGCCUUUUGUACAAUGUUGGUGGUUUUUCUCUAAGUGCUGUAAACGUUUGUUUGGUGAGAACGUAGUAGCCUGUGGAUAAUUCUAUAUUUUUUGUUUCCUUCUACAAGUUUAUUUGAUGCUGUUGGAGUACCAUACAUGUUUGAAUUUGGAGAUAAAACUGUUAAAAUAAAGUGUUACCCAUUUAUCACAAUCACAACUCCGGUUUCGGUUUCGUGGAUCGCCUUCUGAAGAGCACUAGAUUAACAAAGCUAUGGAAUUGUAUUACAACACAAGUGAUUACUCAUCAAAACGGCAUCUGAAACUACCAGUGGAUAAAGUGGAUAUUGCCGUUACAGGCAGUGUCCACAGUCUUUAGUCAGAAUCCAGGUCAGCUGUGUAACCUGGAGGGCCAGGACGGGGUCGACCUGCUAGAUCUGCAAUCUCCCUGUCCUCUGGGUUACCACAUUUUGUGAUCCAGUGGACAUCAUCCCAAUGUUUACAUUGCUUAUGAAUAGAACUUUGGCCCUCCUCCUGGGGGCUAUGGGGUUCUGGUAGAUAAUAGCGCUUGCAGUGCCAGGGCAUUGGGUUCAAUUACCAUAGUGGGCCAGAAUGGAAUAAGUAUGAAAAUGUAUACACUCAGAAUUGCCUGUCACUCUACUAAACGAUAUAAACUAAAUGGACAUAAUAUUGUCAUGCUGUGUAACAAAGGUUAGAAAGUGACAAAACAGAGCUGCUGUUAUGAAACAUUAAGAGGACAGUACUAUUCUUGUACAUGUGGGAGAUCUUAAAACUGUAUUGUAUAAUAACACCAAUACAAGAACAAAGUAUGGCAAGAAAACUUUUGGCUUUGCUGUCAUCUUUGAACACAGAAGAAGCUGAAAUUA
Molecule: long non-coding RNA, 6429 nt
Organism: Esox lucius (northern pike)
Lineage: Eukaryota; Metazoa; Chordata; Actinopteri; Esociformes; Esocidae
Source: Ensembl